UUUUAUAAUAUUAUAACAUGUAAUGAUGAUUUUGCAUUAAUUAUGACAAGAGUCACGUCUAAACUUUUUGGGCCAUUAAAUGUUGAUGUCACUUCGUUUUUAAUGGUAAAAAUCUCCCUUCUAACUGUAUAGCCGCGCUUCUCAACGUGAAACAAAAAUAUCUCCAACUAAACCGGAACAGUUUACCUAACUAAACCUGACUAACUAAACCAUAUAUUCAACAGUUUCUCAACUGUAGCAGCAAGGGCAAAAGAUUCAAAUUUCAGUUAAAAAGACAAAACGUGAAAACCACUUUUGACUUUACCAAUCCCUAAAAAUAAAAUAUAGUCAAAAGGUGUGGCCGCAAAUUACCCUAACUAGAAUUACUGAAGAGUGGAGAGUAUCCGUGCUAUGUGCUGAU
Molecule: small RNA, 400 nt
Filed under: Arabidopsis thaliana (thale cress)
Lineage: Eukaryota; Viridiplantae; Streptophyta; Magnoliopsida; Brassicales; Brassicaceae
Description: ATSL152720
Source: RNAcentral